AUUUGUUUUGCACUUUAACAUGAUUUUUUUUAUUGUUUUGUUCUCAUUUCUUCCACAGGCUCGGCUUCAGCGCACGCCCUCCAGCACAUCAGAGGACUCCAUAAAGCUCCAGAGCAGCAGCUCCAUAGAGCGAGAGAUCUGGGAGGGCGACUUAUCGUCCAGCCCCAGGAAGAACUCUCUGUCCAGGAUAGACUCCAAACAGAAGGGCCGCAGCUUCUUCUCCCUGGGCGGCAAAACUCCGAGCUUAGAAGGCCAAAACCAGAUCCCCACACGACUGCUUCAGCUGGCUUCAUCCAAGGAGAAGAAGGACAAAAAGAAGAAGAAGAGCAAGAGCCAGCCUCCUCAGGAUGCAGCAUCACAUCUGCUGCCCCUGACAGAGCCUUCAAUGGACGGAGACAUCUUCUUCUGCUGAUUUACCCAUCAUCCCUUCUGUCCACAUCAUUGCCUCUCAUGGACUCUCUAUCAAAUCAUGUAGGAAGUCACCCAAAGUGCCCUCUACACGUUUCAGCAAUCUUUCUACAAUAUAAUAAAUCUCACAAAACAUGUCCAGGUCGCAUUACACCACAAAAUCAAAAGAAAAUUAAGAAAUCAUAUUUUGCCUAACCCAAAUCAGUCCUAUUUUAGGAUUGUUUUUAUUUUUUGUGACAUUAUUUUAAUAACAAUUUAGCCCCCAAAUUCUCAUUACCGUAAUGUAUAGAUAGUGGUAAUAUAUGAUUUCAAUUGUAAAGUAUUUAUAUACUACGGUAAAUGUUUUUGUACUGCUUUUAAAUAUUGUUUUACUACAGUAGUUUGUGCUGUAAUAAAGUUUGCUCUAUCACAGUAAUGAAAAUCACCAUUUAGAAUAAUAAUAAUUAUUAAUUAUUAUUCCAAAAAAGCUCAUGAUGCAGAAAUGGUAAAGGAAAUCUCUUUAUUAUAUAUAUAUAUAUAUAUAACUCAUCCAGACAGCAUAUAUGUGCUACACAUUAAAGUCUUAAGGUGCGUCCCAAAUCGCGUACUUAUGCACUAUUCUGUGACGUUUUGUAGUAUAAAUAGUGUGAGUAGUGUGUUCACACCUAAUAUUCCAAAAAGUAAAAAGUGCACUUUAAAUACCCGGAUGAUGCACUUGAAGAAUCGAAAAAACGAAGUGUGGAAUGUUGAACACUUCAUGCACUCAACUGUCGCAGCUUUAAUUACGUAGUGAAGGGAGAGGGGCUAUCAGACUCCGUUUAUGAAUGACAAAAUAACCUUAUAUAAUUCAUACACUACAUAGUGCAUAAGUACAUAGUGUAUAAGUGCAUAGUGUAUAGCGCGUCAUUUGGGACGCAGCUUUAGAUUUGCACUUGCUUUCACAUGUUUAUCAGACAAAUCCCAUCUUUGAAUACGUUGUUAAAAUGUGCAUUGUAUAUAAAUUUCAAUUACUGCACUCAUUUACAAAUGAAUUGUGUCACCAAAACAUUUUAAAAAGCAAAAAUGGGGUUUGCUGCUCCCCAUAUUGGCCAACUUUUUUUAGGCUGAAAAAUCAUUUCGGCUCAUUGCGCACAAGAAUGACCAUUUAAAAUUUGAUCACAGUUUUAACAUUUAAAGGGAUUCGGGGAGAGAGGUGGUUUUCCAUAUUCCCCGUGUUUAUUAUUUUAGCUUCUCGAAGGAGUCCCGUCUUUGAAAUGCCACCGAGCACUUUAACACCAUUCACACGUUACCCUUGACCCGAAAAUGACAAUCAAUUUUUCAAUAGCAUUCCAAAGAUAAAGCCCUGAGGACAGGGCUUUUGGGGGCCAUUGUUUAACAUACCAUGGCAUUUCAUGCUAGUUUGAGAUUCUCUAAUCCUUCUGCUUUGAAUACUUCAUGACUUCAGCAGGACGGAUGAGCUGUAAAUACUUUAUGAACUGUAGACCCCUGAGGGAUAUUUAAAGCAACCUGCUGGACAGGUAAAAGAGAUAAACAUCCACGAAAGAUAGUGUACCUCACCUAUACAUCCACCCUUAUGGAUCAAAGCACCAUAUCAUAUCUGAAUAUCAGUAAUAAUACAUUUAACACCCUGUUUUGGCACUCAGAGUGUCCACUUAUUUCAUCAUGCAUGAAUAUCCACAUUACAGUCCUGCAGGAUUUUGUUCUGUUGGCCUGAUAUUGUUAGGAGUUAUUUAUUGGUCCAUGAGAAUUUUUAUUACAUUUUUUUUAAGCAGUACGUGCUCUCAAAGUCCCAUUUGUGCAGGUUUGUGUUGCAGUUUUCACCUGCGCUGACUUGAUUCCACCAUGAGGGGGCAGAAGAGAAGCGUUUUAUAAUUGAAGGCUCCUCUGUGGAUUUACAUAACCUCUCAGUGAUGUCAGAGGAGACACAGUGACACAUGCACAAAGGGAAUCAUUGGUUCAUCAUUUAAGGAGAACUGUGCCUAUGGCCUUACAGAACUGUCAGCGACACUUUUGGCCUCAGGAACAAACCGGGAAAACUCAAUCCAGGCGGUAUAGUGUUGCCGUGUCUCAUGCGUAAACGAAAACUGAAGUUGCUCAGCCUUAAAGAAAUCAUGGUGUGUGCUAAAAUAUAAUCCAGCAUUCUCUCAGGAGUAUAGGUUUGUUUAUUCAUCUGUGUUUUGAAAGUAAGGUAUCAUUUGUACAUUGAGGUACAUAUGUUCUCUUGCUUAAAAAAAAAAGGAAGAACUAAUGUUAUGUAAAUAUUUUGUGUUUAAAAUGUUGUUUAAUUUGUGAUUUAUUUUGUAAGAUGUGUUUUGUGAGAUGUAAGGCUUUAUUUAUCAUUGGUCCCCUUGUCUUGAAGCAGAAGACAAUAUUUCCUCACAUUAAAAGCUGUUGCAAUUUCUUUUGGCUUGUAUUGUGUGUGUGUGUGUGUGUGUGUGUGUACAGGUUUAUAUAUCCUGGUGGGGACUUAAACCUGACUACACACAGACUCAUGGGGACUCGUGUCACGGUGGGGACCUAAAUCGUGGUCCCCACUUGUACAAAAGCUUAUAAAUAAUACAGAAUGAAGUUUUUUGAAAGUCUAAAAAUGCAGAACGUUUCCUGUGAGGGGUAGGUUUAGGGGUAGGGUUGGUGUAGGCCAACAGAAAAUACAGUUUGUACAGUAUAAAAACCAUUAUGCCUAUGGAGAGUCCCCACAAGGAUAGCCGACAAGACUGUGUGUGUGUGUGUGUGUACAGGUUUAUAUAUCCUGGUGGGGACUUAAACCUGACUACACACAGACUCAUGGGGACUCGUGUCACAGUGGGGACCUAAAUUGAGGUCCCCAUGGGUACAAAAGCUUAUAAAUCAUACAGAAUUUAGUUUUUUUGAGAAAGUAAAAAUGCAGAGUUUCCUGUGAGGGGUAGUUUUAGGGGUAGGGUUGGUGUAGGCCAACAGAAAAUACAGUUUGUACAGUAUAAAAACCAUUAUGCCUAUGGAGAGUCCCCAAAAGGAUAGCUGACCAGACGUGUGUGUGUGUGUGUGUGUGUGUGUGUGUGUCUCUCCCCCUGUUUUUAAUCUGUCUAUUGAACUGCAGGUUAUUGUGUUUCAUUAAAAUUCACUGGACAAACAGAUCAAGGUUACCUUUUCCUUUUAAAAAGAUUAAAGCAUUUAUUUAAGAAAUUGCCACUGCAUGAAGAAUCACAUAUAAGCAGAACCUUUGAUCUUCACGCAGUCUGCACUGACUCCACUACUAACCUCUCAUUGAUGGACCGAGAUUAGAAGUGGGUCAUUU
Molecule: long non-coding RNA, 3661 nt
Organism: Sinocyclocheilus grahami
Lineage: Eukaryota; Metazoa; Chordata; Actinopteri; Cypriniformes; Cyprinidae
Source: Ensembl